Molecule: ribosomal RNA, 251 nt
Filed under: uncultured bacterium
Lineage: Bacteria
Description: partial 16S ribosomal RNA
Rfam family: Bacterial small subunit ribosomal RNA
Source: RNAcentral
ACAUAGGUCGCAAGCGUUAUCCGGAAUUAUUGGGCGUAAAGAGUUUGUAGGUUGUCUAUUAAGUCUGAAGUCAAAGCCCGGGGCUCAACCCCGGUUCGCUUUAGAUACUGGUAGACUAGAAUUGCAAAGAGGUUAGUGGAAUUCCUAGUGAAGCGGUGGAAUGCGUAGAUAUUAGGAAGAACACCAAUGGCGAAGGCAGCUAACUGGUUGCAUAUUGACACUGAGGAACGAAAGCGUGGGGAGCAAACAGG